This 253-nucleotide ribosomal RNA is filed under the name uncultured bacterium. RNAcentral describes it as "partial 16S ribosomal RNA". It matches the Rfam family "Bacterial small subunit ribosomal RNA", at positions 524 to 776 of the family's 1533-position model. The record is from RNAcentral.
UACGAAGGGGGCUAGCGUUGUUCGGAAUCACUGGGCGUAAAGGGCGCGCAGGCGGCUUUAUAAGUCGGGGGUGAAAGCCUGUGGCUCAACCACAGAAUUGCCUUCGAUACUGUAGAGCUUGAGACCGGAAGAGGUAAGUGGAACUGCGAGUGUAGAGGUGAAAUUCGUAGAUAUUCGCAAGAACACCAGUGGCGAAGGCGGCUUACUGGUCCGGUUCUGACGCUGAGGCGCGAAAGCGUGGGGAGCAAACAGG